This 384-nucleotide ribosomal RNA is filed under the name uncultured eukaryote. RNAcentral describes it as "partial 18S ribosomal RNA". It matches the Rfam family "Eukaryotic small subunit ribosomal RNA", at positions 592 to 977 of the family's 1831-position model. The record is from RNAcentral.
CAAUAGCGUAUAUUAAAGUUGUUGCAGUUAAAAAGCUCGUAGUUGGAUUUCUGGUGGGAGCGAUCGGUCUGGCGCUUAGCGCGAGUACUUGCAUCGUCUCCGGCCAUCCUUGGGGAGAGUCUGUCUGGCAUUAGGUUGUCGGGCAGAGGAUCCUCAUCGUUUACUGUGAAAAAAUUAGAGUGUUCAAAGCAGGCUUAUGCCGUUGAAUAUAUUAGCAUGGAAUAAUAAGAUAGGACUUUGGUACUAUUUUGUUGGUUUGCGCACCAAAGUAAUGAUUAAUAGGGACAGUUGGGGGUAUUCGUAUUCCGUUGUCAGAGGUGAAAUUCUUGGAUUUACGGAAGACGAACUACUGCGAAAGCAUUUACCAAGGAUGUUUUCAUUAAC